GGGGUUGUGACCCCUCCCCAUGGGUCCAUUGCCCAGGGCAUUGUGGGAGAUGUGCUGGCAGAGGGCAUGCUGGGAGCUGUAGUCUGGGAGUGGACUUCCCCCAGGGCAUGCUGGGAGUUGUAGUCCAGGGACAGGCUUUCCCCAGGGCAUGCUGGGAAUUGUAGUCUGGGGGGCUCCCCCUAGGGCAUGCUGGGAGUUGUAGUCUGGGAACAGGCCUUUCCCAGGGCAUGCUGGGAGUUGUAGUCCCUUGAGCACGGCUGCUCCCAGCAUGCACUGCAGUGCUCCCAGCCGUGGGGACCCUGCGGAUGUCCCUGUCCUCACCCCCCACAGGGCCAGGGUGGCCUUGGGGACCCGAGAGACAUCUCUGGCAGGAGAAGGUGGCCGUUGGGGAUGCUGCUGAUGUCCCCAGCAGGGCCAUGGUGGCCUCAGGGACAUCAGUGACAUCCCUGGCAGGGCCAUGGUGGUCUCGGGGACAUCCCUAGCAGGGCCAUGAUGUCCUUGGGGACAUCGGUGACAUCCCCAGCAGAGCCAUGGUGGUCUCAGGGACAUCUCCAGCAGGUCCAUGGUGGCCUUGGGGACAUCAGUGACAUCCCUGGCAGGGCCAUGGUGGUCUCAGGGACAUCCCUAGCAGGGCCGUGUGGCCUUGGGGACAUCAGUAACAGUCCCAGCAGGGCCGUGAUGGCCUUGGGGACAUCCCCAGCAGGGCCAUGGUGGCCUCAGGAUCAUCAGUGACAUCCCCACCAGGUCCAUGAUGUCCUUGGGGACAUCGGUGACAUCCCCGGCAGAGCCAUGGUGGCCUCAGGGACAUCCCUGGCAGAGCCAUGGUGGUCUUGGAGUCAUCAGUGACAUCCCCAGCAGGGCCAUGGUGGCCUUGGGGACAUCAGUGACAUCCCCAGCAGAGCCAUGGUGGUCUCGUGGACAUCCCCAGCGGGGCCAUGAUGGCCUCGGGGACAUCAGUAACGUCCCCAGUAGAGCCAUGAUGUCCUUGGGGACGUUGGUGACAACCCUGGCAGAGCCACGGUGGUCUCGGGGACAUCCCCAGCAGGGCCAUGGUGGCCUCAGGGACAUCCCCAGCAGAGCCAUGAUGGCCUCGGGGACAUCAGUGACAUCCCUGUCAGAGCCAUGGUGGCCUGGGGGACAUCCCCGGCAGGGCCGGGGCGGCCCCGGGGACCCCGGUGACGUCCCCGUCCCCUCCGUGUGCCCAGGCCGACCAGAUGAACCGCAUCGUGGAGGUGCUGGGGCUGCCGCCCCCCCACAUGCUGGAGCAGGCGCCCAAGGCCCGCAAGUACUUCGAGAAGCUGCCGGAAGGCGGCUGGGCCCUCAAGAGGAACAAGGAGACCAAGAAGGAGUACAAGGUGCCGGGGACGCGGCGGCUGCACGAGGUGCUGGGGGUGGAGAGCGGUGGCCCGGGCGGCCGGCGGGCCGGCGAGCAGGGCCACGCGCCUUCCGACUACCUGAAGUUCAAGGACCUGGUGCUGCGGAUGCUGGACUACGAGCCGCGGAGCCGCAUCACGCCCUUCUACGCCCUGCAGCACAACUUCUUCAAGAAGACGAGCGACGAGGGCACCAACACCAGCAACAGCACCUCCACCAGCCCCGCCAUGGAGCACAGCCACAGCACCAGCACCACCAGCUCCGUCUCCAGCUCGGGUACGGUGACCGCCGUGGCUCGUCGCGGGUCCUGGUCGUGGUGUACGGGUUUCUGCCUUCUCUGUUUCUGUCCUACCAGCUCCACGUUGUGCUUGGUGAUGGCUCCUGGGCCACCACGGUGCCUGGUCUUGUCUUUUCCCCGUCUCUGUCCAACCAGCUCCAUGUUGUGCUUGGUGAUGGUUCCUGGGCCACCACGGUGCCUGGUCUUGUCCCUUCCCUACAUUUGUCCUACCAGCUCCAUGUCGUGCUUGGUGAUGGUUCCUGGGCCACCACGGUGCCUGGUCUUGUCUCUUCCCUGUCUUUGUCCAACCAGCUCCAUGUUGUGCUUGGUGACGGCUCCUGGGCCACCAUGGUGCCUGGUCUUGUUCCUUUUCUAUCUCUGUCCUACCAGCUCCAUGUUGUGCUUGGUGAUGGCUCCUGGGCCACCACGGUGCCUGGUCUUGUCCCUUCCCCGUCUCUGUCC
Apteryx owenii (little spotted kiwi) is the source of this 2113-nucleotide long non-coding RNA. Lineage: Eukaryota; Metazoa; Chordata; Aves; Apterygiformes; Apterygidae. The record is from Ensembl.